UUUCUUGGUCGUAUCGUACCAGUUGAUUUAUGGGAUGUUUUCACAUCGGUUAGUCGAGCCUACCUUGACGCUUUCUUAGGUUUGUAAAUUUUUCUUAUACAUCUCUGCAUAAAUUCCUAGCGGCGCUAGAGGUGAUGUGAUACGUGAAAAUGUAUCGCCAUUCUUCUAGUGACACACAUGCGAGUUUCUAAAUUAGCUAUUGGUUUCAGUUUUUCGGCAUCAGUGAUCUUCUACAAGUUUUGUCCUCUUGUCCUAGAACACGGAAUUUUUUAGCCGCAAAUAUGGGAACCACUUAAGGGUAGGAAUUACUUGGUCAGACUGCAUGUAUGGUUACCGACUUACUGUAUGCAGUUUACUCAAACUUAAUCUUUUUGUACGUUACCUAUGAACGGACUUAUUAGUAUGGCUUGAAGCUGUGUAAUCAUGGCUUUGGCAACGCAAGUUGAACAUCUGUUUUUUUUUUCUCUAAAAGAUGUUUCCCUGUCAUUUUUAUUUCAUACAUCAUCAUUGAAUUUUGAUUGAAUUUGUGAAUUAAAGGUUCGUAUAAAUGUAGGAAAUGAUGCUUAAGGUUGUGAAGCUGCUAAUGACAAAGCUGGGCAGACUUAUGAGUCGGCAAAAGACACUAUCUUCGAAAACCUUGAAGCGACCAAGGAUAAGUCGCUCGAUAUUAAAGAAAAUAUGACUGGCUCGAAUAAUAAUCGGAGUCAUGAUGAGACGCUGUGAAUUUAUAAUUGCAUGGAUGAUGAG
RNAcentral lists this long non-coding RNA (747 nucleotides) under Erythranthe guttata (spotted monkey flower). RNAcentral's name for it is "long non-coding RNA (EGUT_LNC001131)". Lineage: Eukaryota; Viridiplantae; Streptophyta; Magnoliopsida; Lamiales; Phrymaceae. The record is from RNAcentral.